AUUGAACGCUGGCGGCAGGCUUAACACAUGCAAGUCGAGCGAGAAAGUUCUCUUCGGAGAAUGAGUAGAGCGGCGGACGGGUGAGUAACGCGUAGGAAUCUACCUAGUAGUGGGGGACAACAGUUGGAAACGACUGCUAAUACCGCAUACGCCCCUAGGGGGAAAGCAGGGGAUCUUCGGACCUUGCGCUAUUAGAUGAGCUUGCGUCGGAUUAGCUAG
This 219-nucleotide ribosomal RNA is filed under the name uncultured Gammaproteobacteria bacterium. RNAcentral describes it as "partial 16S ribosomal RNA". It matches the Rfam family "Bacterial small subunit ribosomal RNA", at positions 30 to 248 of the family's 1533-position model. Lineage: Bacteria; Pseudomonadati; Pseudomonadota; Gammaproteobacteria. The record is from RNAcentral.